RNAcentral lists this ribosomal RNA (253 nucleotides) under uncultured bacterium. Its description in RNAcentral is "partial 16S ribosomal RNA". It matches the Rfam family "Bacterial small subunit ribosomal RNA", at positions 524 to 776 of the family's 1533-position model. The record is from RNAcentral.
UACGGGGGGAGCAAGCGUUGUUCGGAUUUACUGGGCGUAAAGGGUGCGUAGGUGGGAAUGUAAGUCAGUGGUGAAAUCUCCGUGCUUAACACGGAAACUGCCAUUGAUACUAUGUUUCUUGAAUUUUCCGGAGGUCAGCGGAAUAUGUCAUGUAGCGGUGAAAUGCUUAGAUAUGACAUAGAACACCAAUUGCGAAGGCAGCUGACUACAGGGACAUUGACACUGAGGCACGAAAGCGUGGGGAUCAAACAGG